This 460-nucleotide ribosomal RNA is filed under the name uncultured bacterium. RNAcentral describes it as "partial 16S ribosomal RNA". It matches the Rfam family "Bacterial small subunit ribosomal RNA", at positions 338 to 795 of the family's 1533-position model. The record is from RNAcentral.
CCUACGGGAGGCAGCAGUGAGGAAUAUUGGUCAAUGGACGAGAGUCUGAACCAGCCAAGUAGCGUGAAGGAUGACUGCCCUAUGGGUUGUAAACUUCUUUUAUAAAGGAAUAAAACGAGGCACGUGUGCCUUUUUGCAUGUACUUUAUGAAUAAGGAUCGGCUAACUCCGUGCCAGCAGCCGCGGUAAUACGGAGGAUCCGAGCGUUAUCCGGAUUUAUUGGGUUUAAAGGGAGCGUAGAUGGGUUGUUAAGUCAGUUGUGAAAGUUUGCGGCUCAACCGUAAAAUUGCAAUUGAUACUGGCAGUCGUGAGUACAGUUGAGGUAGGCGGAAUUCGUGGUGUAGCGGUGAAAUGCUGAGAUAUCACGAAGAACCCCGAUUGCGAAGGCAGCUUACUAAACUGUGACUGACAUUGAUGCUCGAAAGUGUGGGUAUCAAACAGGAUUAGAUACCCGAGUAGUC